UGCUUCCCUAGUAGCCCUUUCUACCGCUUGCCGAGCCCUUUCUUUUUCAAGCUCCCUGGAUCUCUCCCUUUCUCUCUCAAGCUUCUUUUGUGCUCUUUCUUCCUCUUCCUUCUCCCACUGUCGCCUCUCAUUUUCUAGUCUCUCCCUGUUUCCUUGAAACUCUCUUUCCUGCACUUCAUUUAUUGCUUGUUCAUCUCUUUCCAGAUGUACAGCUUCCUUACUCUUAGCAGACUUUGCAUAUUCUCUUUCUCGGACUUCCUUAGCAUGUCUAAAUUUG
This 277-nucleotide unclassified non-coding RNA is filed under the name Hevea brasiliensis (rubber tree). The record is from RNAcentral. Lineage: Eukaryota; Viridiplantae; Streptophyta; Magnoliopsida; Malpighiales; Euphorbiaceae.